AAGAUUUGACACAGCUAUACAACCCCAAAUCAGAAAAAGUUGGGACAGUAUGGAAAACACAAAGAAAAAAAGAAAGUAGUGAUUUCUAAAUGUACUUUGACUUGUAUUUCAUUGCAGACAAUACAACAGCACAUAAUUUAAUGUGUUCCUCA
Molecule: long non-coding RNA, 152 nt
Organism: Sander lucioperca (pikeperch)
Lineage: Eukaryota; Metazoa; Chordata; Actinopteri; Perciformes; Percidae
Exons: 3
Source: RefSeq, a predicted model, not a curated record